GGGAGAACACUUUGUAAUGGAAAUCACAAAUUUACAUAUCCAAUUCCAAUGCAAUUGAUGCCACAUGUGCUAUGCAAUAAGGGGGAUGAAUUAUGCAAACAAAUCACUCCAUACUUUCUAUAAUUCCACAUAAUCUCUCCCUCAAAUAACAGAUAGUGUACUAGACGACUAUAGGAUCAUAUUAGAUAUAGGGAUUAAUUAUGCAAACAAAUCACACAAUAUGUUUUAUAAUUCCACACAAUCACUCCCUCGAAUAAGAGGUUGUAAAAUAGAAGAAUGUGAAACUGUAUUGGAUGCUAGAAGACUAAGAGAUUGCAUGCCAUAACAUUAUCUCCCUUUAGUACAAGGAGAUUACAGAGAUUGCAUGCAAUAACAUUAUCUCCCUUUGGUACAAAGAGAUUACAGAGAUUGCAUGCAAUAACAUUAUCUUGCAUGCAAUAACAUUAUCUCCCUUUGGUACAAGGAGAUUACAAAGAUUGCAUGCAAUAACAUUAUCUCCCUUUGGUACAAGGAGAUUACAAUUCUGCCAAGUGCGAGAAAAAAUAAUCACAGUCGACAGUUUUUUCUACACAACUGGAGGGAGAACACUUUGUAAUGGAAAUCACAAAUUUACAUAUCCAAUUCCAAUGCAAUUGAUGCCACAUGUGCUAUGCAAUCAGGGGGAUGAAUUAUGCAAACAAAUCACUCCAUACUUUCUAUAAUUCCACAUAAUCUCUCCCUCAAAUAACAGAUAGUGUACUAGACGACUAUAGGAUCAUAUUAGAUAUAGGGAUUAAUUAUGCAAACAAAUCACACAAUAUGUUUUAUAAUUCCACACAAUCACUCCCUCGAAUAAGAGGUUGUAAAAUUGAAGAAUGUGAAACUGUAUUGGAUGCUAGAAGACUAAGAGAUUGCAUGCCAAAACAUUAUCUCCCUUUAGUAAAAGGAGAUUACAGAGAUUGCAUGCAAUAACAUUAUCUCCCUUUGGUACAAAGAGAUUACAGAGAUUGCAUGCAAUAACAUUAUCUUGCAUGCAAUAACAUUAUCUCCCUUUGGUACAAGGAGAUUACAAAGAUUGCAUGCAAUAACAUUAUCUCCCUUUGGUACAAGGAGAUUACAAUUCUGCCAAGUGCGAGAAAAAAUAAUCACAGUCGACAGUUUUUUCUACACAAAUAACACGGAUUGAUAAACUUUCACAUAUUGAUAAACACCAUAAUAAAAUAGUAGCAGGAUUAAAAAGGACCAAAAGAUUAUAACUCUUUUCCACAAGUGAAUAAAGAAAAAGAAAAAAGGAUUCCAAACACCCAAUCCCACCCGAGUCACCCACAGGGAUAAGACAGGAGACUACAUCACCAUGCAGGCAAUAUCUAGAACCUCUUGCAGCAUAUUUGCAGCUUUAAUGAGUCAAUUCCACCAUUAACUGCUCAGAUAUGAAAAUUCAGUGUCUUGUUUCAGCCAACAAAUAAAUACCUAGACCCAGACUCAAUGGAAACCUGCUUCCUCAAUAUAAUUCUACACUACACUCAUUACUGAAUGAGUUUCCUGACUCAGUCUCGGAUCAUAGUGAGUCCCUGACUCAGUUUUUUCUUUCUUUUGAUUAUUAUUUGUUGGGUCAAUCCCAACAAAUAACAAUCAAAAGAAAGAAAAAACUCACAUUAAUACAAAGAAUUAUGUUAAUACAUGGCCCAACAAAUAAUAAUCAAAAGAAAGAAAAAAACUCACAUUAAUACAAAGAUUUAUGUUAAUACAGACAGUAAAACUCACAUUAAUACAAAGAAUUAUGUUAAUACAGAGAGUCCGGUUAAAAACUGUCUCCCAUUCCAUUACAGGCCUGUCUCAAGAGAUCAUUUUUACCGUGUCUCAAGAGAUCAUUUUUACCGUAUUGCCCUCUCCAACAUCAACCCUCUCUCUUCUAAUACGAUAAAAUCAUGAUUCUUGCAAUCCUUUAAACCAAACUCUACCAACCCAAACACAACACCACCACCACCCCCCACCCCACCCCCCCCCAACCCCAAGGGGGCAGAAAUAAUAGCAGCCUAUCUUUAAGAGCUCAACCAACAAAUCCUACACAAAAACAUGCAUCCAUCCAUGUGGAUGCAUGAAGGAGCAUUAAAGAUUGGAUACCCAAAAAUGUGGCAUCAAAUAUACAGUCACACACUUUCUUUUCUAUUGGAAACCGUAAACUGUUAACAUGCAAAUUCAUUUAUAAAUUGCUUGCUUCCAUAUACAAAAAAUUUUCAAUAAAGAAUGACAUACAUAAUAUAGACACAAAUACACUUAUUUCUGCAGAAAAGAAAUGCUUACUUCCAUAUAAAACAAUUUCUCAAUAAAGAAUGACAUACAUAAUAAACACAAAUUCACUUAUUUCUGCAAAAAAGAAAUGCAACUCUUUCGAAUGCGGGAACAAAGUCAGCAUAUGCACACAUCCGAAUUCUUUGGACACGAUACCACACUCGUUUAUGUGCACCUUCAUGUUCAUGUAGUUUUGUUC
RNAcentral lists this long non-coding RNA (2470 nucleotides) under Amborella trichopoda. Its description in RNAcentral is "long non-coding RNA (ATRI_LNC002884)". The record is from RNAcentral. Lineage: Eukaryota; Viridiplantae; Streptophyta; Magnoliopsida; Amborellales; Amborellaceae.